RNAcentral lists this ribosomal RNA (308 nucleotides) under uncultured bacterium. Its description in RNAcentral is "bacterial SSU rRNA". It matches the Rfam family "Bacterial small subunit ribosomal RNA", at positions 626 to 932 of the family's 1533-position model. The record is from RNAcentral.
UUGGAAACUGGAUGACUUGAGUGCAGUAGAGGAAAGUGGAACUCCAUGUGUAGCGGUGAAAUGCGUAGAUAUAUGGAAGAACACCAGUGGCGAAGGCGGCUUUCUGGACUGUAACUGACGUUGAGGCUCGAAAGUGUGGGUAGCAAACAGGAUUAGAUACCCUGGUAGUCCACACCGUAAACGAUGAGUGCUAGCUGUUCGAGGGUUUCCGCCCUUGAGUGGCGUAGCUAACGCAUUAAGCACUCCGCCUGGGGAGUACGACCGCAAGGUUGAAACUCAAAGGAAUUGACGGGGACCCGCACAAGCGG